ACCCAAACGAGAAGGAAGAACACAUGUCCAUCAUAACCACUCAUCCAAUAUUAAAUAGGAAACCGAAUACAAUUGCUAAUCAAGUUUAAAAUCCCUGAUAUAGCUAAAGCUGGGUUUACACUAGCGUGAUUGCCACCACCUGUUGAAUUAUCCUCUCUUGAUGGUUACAGAGUUUAUACUCUCUAAAUGCUAAGUUAGCACGUGACAUCAUGCAGUAGUGGAAUGGGUAAUAAAAG
This 236-nucleotide long non-coding RNA is filed under the name Lupinus angustifolius (narrow-leaved blue lupine). RNAcentral describes it as "long non-coding RNA (LANG_LNC001702)". The record is from RNAcentral. Lineage: Eukaryota; Viridiplantae; Streptophyta; Magnoliopsida; Fabales; Fabaceae.